This 845-nucleotide long non-coding RNA is filed under the name Elaeis guineensis (African oil palm). RNAcentral's name for it is "long non-coding RNA (EGUI_LNC041540)". The record is from RNAcentral. Lineage: Eukaryota; Viridiplantae; Streptophyta; Magnoliopsida; Arecales; Arecaceae.
CUCUGUUCUUCUGUCCUAUUUUCUUUCUCCUAAUAAAAAGAUAAGGCAACUCCUCCACGUGCUCUCCCCUCUCCUCUCUUCUCUUCCCAUCCACAGAUCCGUGUUCAUCUUNNNNNNNNNNNNNNNNNNNNAGAUAAGGCAACUCCUCCACGUGCUCUCCCCUCUCCUCUCUUCUCUUCCCAUCCACAGAUCCGUGUUCAUCUUUGAAUCCUCUCUUCGAACAGUCAUCUCUUCUUCGUUCAAAUUAUAUAACUCUCUCCCUCCUAAUAAACAGGUAAGGCAACAAUUCUUCUCUCAGAAAUAUCCGGAUGUUUUUUCAAAGAUUUACUCCCCUCUCCUCUCUUUUCUUCUGUCCGAUUUUUUUUCUCCUAAUAAAGAGAUAAGGUACCUCCUCCACAUGCUCUCCCCUCUACUCUCUUCUUUUCCCAUCCACAGAUUUGACACUUAUCGAACAUCACGAUGGGAGAACGCACACCGACUACCUGCACAAUGAACCAAUUGCACACGUCAACGAGGACGCCAUGCAGCAUGUCAGGAGAAGUGGAGCAGCACGCACAGUCAAUACCAACUGCACCGUCAGCACACACGUCAGCAAUCUGAGUUGGCAACACCACAAUGCUUGGAGGCACUAGCAACACCCCAAGGCUCCUCCGGUAAGUAUCACUUUAUAUAUAUAUAUAUGAUUAGCUAGUAUAUUCACAAAUCCAUCUCAAACAAAGAUUUACAUUGGAUAAUUGUAUAUGAAUAAGCAAAACCAAUCAAUGAUAUUAGUGCCAUUUUCACAUUUUCCAAUGAUAUUUAUUCAAACUCUCUCAUUAACUGAAGUCUAGAUUAUAUCCAAGAAG